RNAcentral lists this ribosomal RNA (1105 nucleotides) under Trichormus doliolum BF4. RNAcentral's name for it is "bacterial SSU rRNA". It matches the Rfam family "Bacterial small subunit ribosomal RNA", at positions 341 to 1483 of the family's 1533-position model. Lineage: Bacteria; Bacillati; Cyanobacteriota; Cyanophyceae; Nostocales; Nostocaceae. The record is from RNAcentral.
ACGGGAGCAGCAGUGGGAUUUCGCAUGGCGAGCCUGACCGAGCCAUCGCGUGAGGAGGAAGCUCUGGGUGUAACCUCUUUCUCAGGGAGACACAAUGACGUACCUGAGAUCAGCAUCGGCUACUCGUGCCAGCAGCCGCGGUAAUACGAGGAUGCAAGCGUAUCCCGGAAUGAUUGGGCGUAAAGCGUCCGCAGUGGCUGUGUAAGUCUGCUGUCAAAGAGCAAAGCUCAACUUUGUAAAGGCAGUGGAAACUACACGGCUAGAGUGCGUUCGGGGCAGAGGGAAUUCCUGGUGUAGCGGUGAAAUGCGUAGAGAUCAGGAAGAACACCGGUGGCGAAGGCGCUCUGCUAGGCCGCAACUGACACUGAGGGACGAAAGCUAGGGGAGCGAAUGGGAUUAGAUACCCCAGUAGUCCUAGCUGUAAACGAUGGAUACUAGGCGUGGCUUGUAUCGACCCGAGCCGUGCCGUAGCUAACGCGUUAAGUAUCCCGCCUGGGGAGUACGCACGCAAGUGUGAAACUCAAAGGAAUUGACGGGGGCCCGCACAAGCGGUGGAGUAUGUGGUUUAAUUUGAUGCAACGCGAAGAACCUUACCAAGGCUUGACAUGUCGCGAACUCUUUUGAAAGGAAGAGGUGCCUUCGGGAGCGCGAACACAGGUGGUGCAUGGCUGUCGUCAGCUCGUGUCGUGAGAUGUUGGGUUAAGUCCCGCAACGAGCGCAACCCUCGUUUUUAGUUGCCAGCAUUAAGUUGGGCACUCUAGAGAGACUGCCGGUGACAAACCGGAGGAAGGUGGGGAUGACGUCAAGUCAGCAUGCCCCUUACGCCUUGGGCUACACACGUACUACAAUGCUACGGACAGAGGGCAGCAAGCUAGCGAUAGCAAGCUAAUCCCAUAAACCGUGGCUCAGUUCAGAUCGAAGGCUGCAACUCGCCUUCGUGAAGGAGGAAUCGCUAGUAAUUGCAGGUCAGCAUACUGCAGUGAAUUCGUUCCCGGGCCUUGUACACACCGCCCGUCACACCAUGGAAGCUGGCAACGCCCGAAGUCAAAUAGGUCCAACCUUUCGAGGGGGGAGGGAUGCCCUAAAGGCCAAGUGGCUUGGGGUA